RNAcentral lists this transfer RNA (77 nucleotides) under Candidatus Peregrinibacteria bacterium. RNAcentral describes it as "tRNA-Arg". It matches the Rfam family "tRNA". From Rfam's summary of the family: Transfer RNA (tRNA) molecules are approximately 80 nucleotides in length. The record is from RNAcentral. Lineage: Bacteria; Candidatus Peregrinibacteriota.
GCCCCGGUAGCUCAGCUGGAUAGAGCGACGGCCUUCUAAGCCGUAGGUCACAGGUUCGAACCCUGUCCGGGGUACCA